UCACGUACAUCCUAUUUAUUAAAUAUAAAUUAAUCAUUUAAAUAAAUAAAUAAGCAAAAAAAAAAAAAAAAAGUAAAAAAAAAAACGUGCUGUAACUCACAGCACCACCCUCCCAAUCCCAAACCCCAACCCAUCCCCAAGCCCCAGCCAAAAACAUCCGAACUCAAAUCAAAAAGUCAAUCUUCUCCGCCGCCCUGGAGAGAUUGAAAGGACUGCAGCCGCGGUAAAGGGAUUGUAAGGACGGCGGUGAUGGAGGUGGAGCAAAUCUCCUACAUGUUAAUCUCCGUCGCCAUAGAUCGGAAACUGUUCAAGGACAAAGACGGUGCCGGCGGCAGCGGCUCCCGUACGACCAUCAUCAAGAAACAAUUACUAUGGCAGAUUCUCCAAUCAGUCUUCUCUAUUUUUCCUCUCCAAAACCCUCUUUCUUUUCCCCUUUUACCACCGUUUUCUUUUUCUUUAUCUUCUCCGUUUUCCUCUUGUUCGUCUCUUCCCUGCACCCGCUGCCGUAUGCUUCCGCUUUCGAGAUAUCACUUUCGUUUAUCAGCUUGAUUGUGUUUGGAGGUGAGCAGAGUUUGUUAAGAAAGAGGGUCGGAGGCGGUGGUUUGUCUGUGUUGGGCCUGUAAUGCUUAUUUUAAUGUUGAUUCGACUUCGAAUUUGGUUGUUGUUUUGGUGAAUUUGGGAUUUAGGAUUUUUCUGAUCGGUUUGUUGCAGCCUACGAUUUUUCCUAUUGUUCAGGUUUACGGUGGUAGACGGAACUUUUGGCAGGGGGAUGAGUUUGGGGGUGGUGGGUGAAGGGAAG
RNAcentral lists this long non-coding RNA (799 nucleotides) under Erythranthe guttata (spotted monkey flower). RNAcentral describes it as "long non-coding RNA (EGUT_LNC002585)". Lineage: Eukaryota; Viridiplantae; Streptophyta; Magnoliopsida; Lamiales; Phrymaceae. The record is from RNAcentral.